Molecule: ribosomal RNA, 274 nt
Filed under: uncultured bacterium
Lineage: Bacteria
Description: partial 16S ribosomal RNA
Rfam family: Archaeal small subunit ribosomal RNA
Source: RNAcentral
AAACCAGCACCUCAAGUGGUCAGGAUGAUUAUUGGGCCUAAAGCAUCCGUAGCCGGCUCUGUAAGUUUUCGGUUAAAUCUGUAUGCUCAACAUACAGGCUGCCGGGAAUACUGCAGAACUAGGGAGUGGGAGAGGUAGACGGUACUCGGGAGGAAGUGGUAAAAUGCUUUGAUCUCUCGAUGACCACCUGUGGCGAAGGCGGUCUACCAGAACACGUCCGACGGUGAGGGAUGAAAGCUGGGGGAGCAAACCGGAUUAGAAACCCCAGUAGUCC